GCACGAAAGUGUGACGGAGCGACGCCGCGUGUGUGAUGAAGGCUUUCGGGUCGUAAAGCACUGUUGUAAGGGAAGAAUAACUGAAUUCAGAGAAAGUUUUCAGCUUGACGGUACCUUACCAGAAAGGGAUGGCUAAAUACGUGCCAGCAGCCGCGGUAAUACGUAUGUCCCGAGCGUUAUCCGGAUUUAUUGGGCGUAAAGCGAGCGCAGACGGUUUAUUAAGUCUGAUGUGAAAUCCCGAGGCCCAACCUCGGAACUGCAUUGGAAACUGAUUUACUUGAGUGCGAUAGAGGCAAGUGGAACUCCAUGUGUAGCGGUGAAAUGCGUAGAUAUGUGGAAGAACACCAGUGGCGAAAGCGGCUUGCUAGAUCGUAACUGACGUUGAGGCUCGAAAGUAUGGGUAGCAAACGGGAUUAGAUACCCCGGUAGUCCAUACCGUAAACGAUGGGUGCUAGUUGUUAAGAGGUUUCCGCCUCCUAGUGACGUAGCAAACGCAUUAAGCACCCCGCCUGAGGAGUACGGCCGCAAGGCUAAAACUUAAAGGAAUUGACGGGGACCCGCACAAGCGGUGGAGCAUGUGGUUUAAUUCGAAGAUACGCGAAAAACCUUACCAGGUCUUGACAUACCAAUGAUCGCUUUUGUAAUGAAAGCUUUUCUUCGGAACAUUGGAUACAGGUGGUGCAUGGU
This 687-nucleotide ribosomal RNA is filed under the name Oenococcus oeni. Its description in RNAcentral is "bacterial SSU rRNA". It matches the Rfam family "Bacterial small subunit ribosomal RNA", at positions 373 to 1049 of the family's 1533-position model. The record is from RNAcentral. Lineage: Bacteria; Bacillati; Bacillota; Bacilli; Lactobacillales; Lactobacillaceae.